Molecule: ribosomal RNA, 515 nt
Filed under: Babesia sp. deer clade
Lineage: Eukaryota; Apicomplexa; Aconoidasida; Piroplasmida; Babesiidae
Description: SSU rRNA
Rfam family: Eukaryotic small subunit ribosomal RNA
Source: RNAcentral
CAGAGUAACAAUUGGAGGGCAAGUCUGGUGCCAGCAGCCGCGGUAAUUCCAGCUCCAAUAGCGUAUAUUAAACUUGUUGCAGUUAAAAAGCUCGUAGUUGAAUUUUUGCGUCACCGUGUAUCGACAUUUGUCGUUUAUCGGUUUCGCUUUUGGGAUUUAUCCCUUUUUACUUUGAGAAAAUUAGAGUGUUUCAAGCAGACUUUUGUCUUGAAUACUUCAGCAUGGAAUAAUAGAGUAGGACUUUGGUUCUAUUUUGUUGGUUUGUGAACCUUAGUAAUGGUUAAUAGGAACGGUUGGGGGCAUUCGUAUUUAACUGUCAGAGGUGAAAUUCUUAGAUUUGUUAAAGACGAACUACUGCGAAAGCAUUUGCCAAGGACGUUUUCAUUAAUCAAGAACGAAAGUUAGGGGAUCGAAGACGAUCAGAUACCGUCGUAGUCCUAACCAUAAACUAUGCCGACUAGGGAUUGGAGGUCGUCAUUUUUCCGACUCCUUCAGCACCUUGAGAGAAAUCAAGG